GUCUAAAAAGUGAACUGAAGAUACAGCUGGUUAAAAAAAAAAAGUAUUUACUCAGAAACUAAGCAGAGUCAGGCCUGGUUAGUACUUGGAUGGGAGACCUGUGGGAAUACUAGGUGCUCUAGGCU
This 125-nucleotide ribosomal RNA is filed under the name Tupaia belangeri (northern tree shrew). Lineage: Eukaryota; Metazoa; Chordata; Mammalia; Scandentia; Tupaiidae. The record is from RNAcentral.